GAUGAAGAACGUAGCGAAAUGCGAUACGUAAUGUGAAUUGCAGAAUUCAGUGAAUCAUCGAAUCUUUGAACGCAUAUUGCGCUCUCUGGUAUUCCGGAGAGCAUGCUUGUUUGAGUAUCAGUAAACACCUCAACUUCCAUAUCUUUUUUUGAAAUGGGAGUUGGACUUGAGUGAUCCCAACACUUUUCCUCACCGAAAAGUGGCUGGUUACUUGAAAUGCAGGUGCAGCUGGACUUUUCUCUGAGCUAUAAGCAUAUCUAUUUAGUCUGCCUAAAAAACAGAUUAUUACCUUUGCUGCAGCUAACAUAAAGGAGAUUAGUUCUUGUGCUGACUGAUGCAGGAUUCACAAAGACAGCUUCGGCCGACUUUGUAAACUCGAUCUCAAAUCAAGUAAGACUACCCGCUGAACUUAAGCAUAUCAAUAAGCGGAGGA
RNAcentral lists this unclassified non-coding RNA (433 nucleotides) under soil metagenome. RNAcentral describes it as "partial contains 5.8S ribosomal RNA, internal transcribed spacer 2, and large subunit ribosomal RNA". The stretch from base 1 to 120 matches the Rfam family "5.8S ribosomal RNA", at positions 35 to 154 of the family's 154-position model. The record is from RNAcentral.